GUAGGUGGCAAGCGUUGUCCGGAAUUAUUGGGCGUAAAGCGCGCGCAGGCGGUUUUUUAAGUCUGAUGUGAAAGCCCACGGCUCAACCGUGGAGGGUCAUUGGAAACUGGAGAACUUGAGUACAGAAGAGGAAAGCGGAAUUCCACGUGUAGCGGUGAAAUGCGUAGAGAUGUGGAGGAACACCAGUGGCGAAGGCGGCUUUCUGGUCUGUAACUGACGCUGAGGCGCGAAAGCGUGGGGAGCAAACAGGGAUUAGGUACCCUGGUAGUCCACGCCGUAAACGAUGAGUGCUAAGUGUUAGGGGGUUUCCCGCCCCUUAGGUGCUGCAGCUAACGCAUUAAGCACUCCGCCUGGGGAGUACGCCGCAAGGCUG
This 373-nucleotide ribosomal RNA is filed under the name uncultured organism. RNAcentral describes it as "partial 16S ribosomal RNA". It matches the Rfam family "Bacterial small subunit ribosomal RNA", at positions 527 to 896 of the family's 1533-position model. The record is from RNAcentral.